GAGUGUAAGCUGCUAUAUGAAGGGAUCCACAAGACGAAUAAUUAAGGGGGACCUCUGAUCAACAGCCAGCAAGGAACUGAAUCCCUCAGACCCACAACUCACAAGAAACUGAAGCUGAAGCAGAUUCUUCCUCAGUCAAGCUUCAGGUGCCCAGCUGUAUUGGUAGAGGAGACCAACCACACCCUCCACAGCACAGCACCUGGAGAGGAACUGCUGCCAUGACCAUAGAGGACACCCUCUGGAUACAAUGCCAGACUUGAUGUGGGACUGACCAACCUAUGGACCCCAGGCACCACCACCCAGACCUGCUCAGCACCUGAAACAUUCACAGCCGUGGAGAGAGAACUGUUCACUGCUACCAUCCACACUUCUGGGCCCCUUCAGCAGCAGGGUGACAAGGAAGAGGGAAAUCGACUUGGAAAAGAGGGGACCUCUGACCCAAGAGUUCGGUCAAUGCAUAUGUUGGCAGCCAGCUGCACAUCGCACCAAAUAUGAACUUCAAAUAGAAGAAAGCCUCAUUUGGAAGAAAGCUCAUGCACAGACUCAUCAAUUUUGCAGCAGCCAUGGCUUGUCCUAUGAGAGAUGAUUCUACCACAAGAACCCAACCACAAGGACGGCUCCUCUUUGAAGUUUUUACAGUCGAUCUCUGGAUCAGCCAGCGAAGUCCUGCUCCCAGGAUCCAGGGAGAGACCAUGGGUGCCCUCUAGGGCAUGGUACAAAGGGAGGAUUUGUUCCAGUAGAGAAUAGAAUAGGCCUUUUCUUUCACCUUUUGGUUUCCAGGUGCUGAACUACAUGUAGGAGUCUUGGUAGUAAAACCAAGCUUAAUGGUUAUUGAAAUAGAACUACCAGAGAGGUGGUAGAAGCACAUGUUUUGUACAAGUUGGUUAACUGCCAGCAGCUUUGAAUCGUGUAACUGCUUACAAAAAAUUUCACAUGGUCCAGGAAUAAGAGGAAACAAAUGUAUGAAAAACAAAUUCCCAGAUACUUACAUUUAAAAUAAAAAGCAAACUAACAAUAA
RNAcentral lists this long non-coding RNA (1018 nucleotides) under Homo sapiens (human). RNAcentral's name for it is "MIR3976 host gene". Lineage: Eukaryota; Metazoa; Chordata; Mammalia; Primates; Hominidae. The record is from RNAcentral.